RNAcentral lists this non-coding RNA (21 nucleotides) under Arabidopsis thaliana (thale cress). The record is from RNAcentral. Lineage: Eukaryota; Viridiplantae; Streptophyta; Magnoliopsida; Brassicales; Brassicaceae.
CGGUGGACUUAUGUAUCUUGC